GACGAACGCUGGCGGCGUGCUUAACACAUGCAAGUCGAACGGAAAGGCCCUGCUUUCGUGGGGUGCUCGAGUGGCGAACGGGUGAGUAACACGUGAGUAACCUGCUCUCGACUUUGGGAUAACUUCAGGAAACUGGGGCUAAUACCGGAUAGGAGCUCCUGCUGCAUGGCGGGGGUUGGAAAGUUUCGGCGGGUGGGGAUGGACUCGCGGCUUAUCAGCUUGGUGGGGGGGUAGUGGCUGACCAAGGCUUUGACGGGUAGCCGGCCCGAGAGGGUGACCGGGCACAUUGGGCCUGAGAUACGGCCCAGACUCCUACGGGAUGCAGCGGUGGGGAGUAUUGCACAAUGGGCGCAAGCCUGAUGCAGCAACGCCGCGUGCGGGAUGACGGCCUUCGGGUUGUGAACCGCUUUCGCCUGUGACGAAGCGUGAGUGACGGUAAUGGGCAAAGAAGCACCGGCUAACUCCGUG
RNAcentral lists this ribosomal RNA (468 nucleotides) under uncultured bacterium. Its description in RNAcentral is "partial 16S ribosomal RNA". It matches the Rfam family "Bacterial small subunit ribosomal RNA", at positions 28 to 507 of the family's 1533-position model. The record is from RNAcentral.